AACGAACGCUGGCGGCGUGGAUAAGACAUGCAAGUCGAGCGGGAUUCCAUUUGUAGCAAUACAAAUGGAGUUCAGCGGCGCAAGGGUGCGUAACACGUGGGCAAUCUGCCGAGAUGUGGGGGAUAGCUCGCCGAAAGGCGAAUUAAUACCGCAUUGUGACCAAGGAAGACAUCUUCCUGACGUCAAAGCCGGGGCAACCUGGCGCAUCUUGAGGAGCCCGCGGCCUAUCAGCUAGUUGGCGAGGUAACUGCUCACCAAGGCUAUGACGGGUAGCUGGUCUAAGAGGACGACCAGCCACACUGGAACUGAGACACGGUCCAGACACCUACGGGUGGCAGCAGUCGAGAAUUUUUCUCAAUGGGGAAACCCUGAAGGAGCGACGCCGCGUGGAGGAUGAAGGUCUUCGGAUUGUAAACUCCUGUCAUUUGAGAACAAGUGGUUCGUGUUAACUGCACGGGCCUUGAUAGUAUCAGAAGAGGAAGA
This 483-nucleotide ribosomal RNA is filed under the name uncultured bacterium. RNAcentral describes it as "bacterial SSU rRNA". It matches the Rfam family "Bacterial small subunit ribosomal RNA", at positions 29 to 491 of the family's 1533-position model. The record is from RNAcentral.